This 497-nucleotide ribosomal RNA is filed under the name uncultured bacterium. RNAcentral's name for it is "partial 16S ribosomal RNA". It matches the Rfam family "Bacterial small subunit ribosomal RNA", at positions 28 to 507 of the family's 1533-position model. The record is from RNAcentral.
GAUGAACGCUGGCGGCGUGCCUAAUACAUGCAAGUCGAGCGAACAGACGAGGAGCUUGCUCUUCUGACGUUAGCGGCGGACGGGUGAGUAACACGUGGAUAACCUACCUAUAAGACUGGGAUAACUUCGGGAAACCGGAGCUAAUACCGGAUAAUAUAUUGAACCGCAUGGUUCAAAAGUGAAAGACGGUUUUGCUGUCACUUAUAGAUGGAUCCGCGCUGCAUUAGCUAGUUGGUAAGGUAACGGCUUACCAAGGCAACGAUGCGUAGCCGACCUGAGAGGGUGAUCGGCCACACUGGAACUGAGACACGGUCCAGACUCCGACGGGAGGCAGCAGUAGGGAAUCUUCCGAGAUGGGCGAAAGCCUGACGGAGCAACGCCGCGUGAGUGAUGAAGGUCUUCGGAUCGUAAAACUCUGUUAGUAGGGAAGAACAAAUGUGUAAGUAACUAUGCACGUCUUGACGGUACCUAAUCAGAAAGCCACGGCUAACUACGUG